Molecule: non-coding RNA, 71 nt
Organism: Ictidomys tridecemlineatus (thirteen-lined ground squirrel)
Lineage: Eukaryota; Metazoa; Chordata; Mammalia; Rodentia; Sciuridae
Source: Rfam
GUGGUUGUAGCUCAGUGGUAGAGCACUUGCCUAGGGUGUGUAAGGCCCUGGGUUCAAUUCUCAGCACCACA